GGGUAAAGCAAAGUCUUCAAGGGAAGAUAACAAAGGAUGAAACAAUGGUGUUGUGUGACUUCCUAGUGUGAAUCAUGGCAAUACAGUGAAAGACAGUGAUUUACUGCUUUUGAGGGCGUGCAUGUAUAUGAUUAACGGAUGGAAGUGCAGGACUCCAAGAUUUACUUCCUUCCCUUUCCAGCAGAAUUACCUGAGACGAGUAAAAUCUACUGGUGGAGUCACUCCAUUAUUCUUAUCUGUGGAGAUCUAGAUCUUGAUUUGAAAGUUUCUGAGAAAAUCUUCAGCUCAGACUUGAGGGUCAACUUUACCAGCUGAAGGAUCUGCAUUUACUGCUCAACCACAUCUAAUUUGAUGUCCUCUGCAGAUUUAAAAUGUGUGCCUUCUUUUCCGUCACCAAGUCAUCCCUGGGUUACUACUGAACAUCCUUCUCAAUUCCCCCCGACCCAUGGAUGGCUGUUCUCCAUUGUCUGUUUCACCAGAUGUCCUCAAAACAAACAGACAGAAGAAGGAAGUGGCUAAUGGAGCUGUGGAGUCCAAGUGUGACUGCCAAGAGGAAUCCAGCAAAGCCAAAAAGCCCAAGCAUGUAGCCCUGCCCGAAGCACGCCACACGCAUGGAAAACCCAGAGGAAAUGAGUGAGGAUCAAUGGGAAGAAGAGAGCCAGCCAGGUUCGAUGCCUUCUCCAUCCGUCAGUGAGGGUGUGGAGAGCCUGCAGGCGUGUGCCUCCCUCUGUAACUUGCUAUUCCUUGUGUAAUGUCAAGUGGAAGUGUGAAGCACCACAAACUGCUCUGAGCAGAGCCCACUUCCCUUCACCCACGGAGAGCGUGAAGCAGUUACACCAACAUCAAUCAAGGAAAACCCACAGGCUGAGCUCACACGGUUGAAGCAGGAAGUUGAAGAUUUGUCCAGGAGCAGAUAGCUGAAGAGAGAGAGAGAGAAGAGAGAACGGCUUACAGCUCAGGUCCUCUCUCCAUGCUUAGGAACCACUACAAAUGCUACUGCCUUGAGUCUCAUUUUGUUUCCCUCUGGAAACCACAUGUGUACCUUGUUUGCAACAGUAUGGUUGGAAAACUUUAAUAUGAGAUUGAAGAUAUGAUUUGCUUUCUGGAUUGUUGUAUGCUACUAAAACCGAAGAAAGAGAAGGAAAAAUGGAUGAAUCGACGGACCAUAUCACCCUGGCACCUAUAUCAGCUCAAAAACUGAAGGAAAUACCCCUUUCCUGCCCUCUCUUUGACUAAUGCUAUAGACUCUGAGUCAGUAGUUCCUGGUGGGACCUGAGAGUCCACAUUCCUGAUGAGCUCCAGGUGUUCCCAUGCUGCUGCCCCUCUGACCACACUUAGAAUAAGAAGGCUUGAAAUGAAAUCUGAGAAAUCAGCCUCUUGAUUCCAAUUUUAAACAUGCAAUUGAUUCUUGUAAUUUUUCAUUCUUGUCAAAAUGCAUACCAGUAAGUUUGUAAUCAGUAUUGGCAUGCUUAAAAGAAUUUAAGACUUGUUAUAUUUGUCAUUUUAAUUUAUUUAAACUUUAAAGAUUUGUUCAGAACUUGGAAAGAUUUUGCUUAAGCUCAUAAAUUUACCCACUCAGGCAUAUGAGAUAGGGUACUUUGAUUUAUAAAUGAAGUUUAAAAUUAAGGGAAUUUAAUUAAGUUUUCAAAAUGAGAUUGGUUGUUUUAAGGGGAAUUUACUUUGUGUAACUUGAGUUCAUCAAACGCUAAUCCAAGUUCCCUGCAAAACCUGUUCUGUUUUAUAUAACAUUUACUCGUUUUAGAAAUAGAUGAGAUUUGCAAAUUGAACCUAAAGACUUAAGGCAAAUUAUGUAUCUUUUUAUACUUUAAUAAAGAAAAAUAAAAUAAAUUUGAAACACAAAUAACUCUAACUGGCCCUUUUUAUGUAAAAAGAAGUCCUUGAAUAAAAUUUACCUUGACAGCACUA
RNAcentral lists this long non-coding RNA (1926 nucleotides) under Homo sapiens (human). Its description in RNAcentral is "PREDICTED lncRNA (TCONS_00223329)". The record is from RNAcentral. Lineage: Eukaryota; Metazoa; Chordata; Mammalia; Primates; Hominidae.